This is an RNA transcript of Drosophila nasuta, 4618 nucleotides long. It is a transcript of the gene named ADAM metallopeptidase with thrombospondin type 1 motif B, with no coding region annotated. Lineage: Eukaryota; Metazoa; Arthropoda; Insecta; Diptera; Drosophilidae. The record is from RefSeq and is a predicted model, not a curated record. The transcript is spliced from 14 exons.
CCCAAUCUUUCCUUCAAAUAAAACCAGUGCCCGCUUGCAAUUUUCACUUAGUUUGAGUCUGAACGGCGACUGCGCCGGCGUGUCCGUGUGUGUGCGUGAGUGUGUGUGUGUAUGUGUGUAUGCGCGUGCGUGAGUAAGAAGCGUAUGCACAAUAAGAUCGCGAUACGAAUCACUUGAAACUAAAACUGCAAUUGCAAUCGAUAAACAAUAAUCGGUGAACGCGCGCGCCAAACUAAUUAUUUGUAGAAUUCGUCCUAUCGAUUUGUAAGCUUCUUUGUUGUUGCUUUCUUUUGCGCGUGUGCUGCGCAUGCGCAACAAUAACAAAAGCUUAAGAAAGAACGGAAACUCGAAACGAAAACCGAAACGGAAACUGAAGCUGAAGCUGAAAAUAAAACUAAUCAAAAUCUAAAAUCGCUUAGUCAUUGCCGGCGCAUAUAUUGUUGUUGUUAUUUAGUGUGUGUGUGUGUUUUUUUUUACAAUUUUUUUUUGUGACUGUGUUUUACUGUGCAACUCUGACGACAACAUACAACACUUACCUGACAUCAUCCCAUUAUCUUAACGUCGUAAUCAUAGCACUAUAAUCAUUACCAUCAGCGCCACCAUAAUUAUAAGCAGCAACAGCGUUGUCGGCAUUUGCGGUUGACAUCUUUACGGGCUUCAUUCAGAGCAAAAUAACCAAAACAAACACAAACACAGCAACGGCAACACAGUCGGAUCGGCAACAACGACAACAACAACAACAUCAAGAACCGCGGCAUUAUUUUGCUGUCGCCCAGUUGGAGAUAUAAUGCAAUCGCUGCCAUGUGCCCGCUAAUUGCCAAGCUGCUGAGACGCAUCGAUAACGGCUAAGAGACAGAGAUUCCCCCUAGAAAAAACUCAUUGAGAGAGUCCCAGAGAGAGAGAGAGAGAAAGAUAAGGAAAGAAAGUAAGAGAGAGAGUAAGAAAAUAUAUAGAGGAGAGUCACACACAAAGUAUUUGCAAGCAUGAAGCGCCUCUAUUUGAGCACUCUGCUCUGCCUGUGGUUCAGCUCUGGCGGCAGCCUCAAGCUUUAUGGCCUGCACACCGAUGAGCUGCUCGAGGGCGAGGGACAGCUGGUGGUGCCACGGCGUGUGCACGCCGAUGGUGCAUUCAUGACACACACACUCGACUAUGCCCACGAUCGGGAUCAUCGGCGGCAUCGUCGCAGCACUGACCAUCAGCAUCAGCAGCCGGAGUUGCAUUUCGAGCUGCCGCUGGCCAACGAGACGUUGCAUCUGGAGCUGACGCCAAAUAGCUAUUUCCUGGCGCCGCAUCUGAUUGUGGAGCGUCAUCGUCGCGAUCUGAGAACUCGUGCGCCUCCAGAGGCGCAUCAGCUCAAUUGCCAUUUCCAUGGCAAGGUGCGUGGCCAGCCGUCGGCCAAUGUCGCCAUAUCCACCUGCUCCGGUCUGGUGGGGCAUGUGAAGACGGCCAGCAAUGAGUAUUAUAUAGAGCCGUCCAAGCAGUAUGCGGCACAUCCUAUCAAUGGGCAUCCACAUGUGGUGUUCCAGCGCUCCUCGGUGAUGCCCAAGCAAAAGGCGACACAACAACGACGUCGCCACAAGCGAAAGCGUAAGGAACAGCGCCGAAAGGGCCACAUCAGCAAUUGUGGCACACGCGAGCCACGACGACGCAUGGAGACGCGUCUCGAGUGGCAGUCGCGUGGCAAGUUUAAGAUACAAGGUGGUCGCAAAGUGCGUCGCCAUCAUCUGCAUCAGCAUCAUCAGCAGCAACAGCAGCAGCAUACGCAACAUCAUCUGCCUGCACGUCAUCAUCAUUACCAUCAACAGCCGCACACAAAGUUUAAGUACGACACACAGCCCGAGGAGCCACAGACGGGGCCACGCAGCAGACGCUCGAUUAGCAGUCCGCGGCAUGUGGAGACACUGAUUGUGGCCGAUGCCACAAUGUCGGCAUUUCACAAGGAUGUCGUCAAAUAUCUGCUGACCAUUAUGAAUAUGGUGUCUGCUCUGUACAAGGAUCCCAGCAUUGGCAAUGCCAUUGAAAUUGUUGUGGUCAAGAUUAUCGAAUUGCAGGAGAACGAUACGGCACCCGAACUAAAUCUAACGCAGAAUGCGCAAAAGAAUCUCGAUCGAUUCUGCAGCUGGCAGCACAAGCAGAACUCGGCCAACGAGAAUGAUCCGAAUCAUCAUGAUGUUGCCAUACUGAUCACGCGCAAAAACAUUUGCGGCAACAAUUGCAUGACUCUGGGACUGGCGAAUGUGGGCGGCAUGUGCAAACCGAGGCAAUCGUGCAGCGUCAACGAGGACAACGGCAUCAUGCUCUCCCACACGAUCACGCACGAAUUGGGGCACAACUUCGGCAUGUUCCACGACACUGCAAAAAUCGGCUGCCAUCCGCGAGUGGGCUCCAUAGUGCACAUCAUGACACCAACCUUUGGGGCGGACACGCUGCAAGUUUGCUGGUCGAACUGCAGUCGCAAGUACAUCACACAUUUUUUGGACCAGGGAUUGGGCGAAUGUCUGGACGAUUCGCCGACCACGAUUGCGGAAUACAAUUAUCCAGAGACGCUGCCGGGUGAGGCAUACAACGCCAAGCGGCAGUGCCGAAUGCAAUUCAACCUAACCACAGAUAGCGAUGUGGGCGCCUGCUCAUCGCCGCAUGAGUUCUGCUCGACGCUGUGGUGUCGCGUCAAUGGCGAAUGUGUGACAAACAUGCGACCCACGGCCCCGGGCACCACGUGUGGCAAGAACAAAUGGUGCCAGAAUGGCAAAUGUGUGCGCAUGGAGGAGCUGACGCCCAUCAACGGGGGCUGGGGCAAUUGGAGCGAGUGGAGCGAAUGUUCGCGCAGCUGCGGCGGUGGCGUCUCCACGCAGCAGCGCGAAUGCGAUUCACCAUUGCCCGCCAAUGGCGGCGUCUUCUGCAUUGGCGAGCGCAAGCGCUACAAGAUCUGUCGCAAGCGGCCGUGUCCCGAACACGAGCCCAGCUUCCGGGCCCAGCAGUGUGCGCGAUACGACAAUGUCAGCUAUCAGGGUGCCACCUACAAGUGGCUGCCCUUCUUCGAUAAGAACAAUCCCUGUCGACUGUUCUGCAGCGAUGUGGAUGACACAAUCAUCGCCAACUGGGGCGAAACGGUGCUCGAUGGCACUCCUUGCACGCUGGGCACGAAUAACAUGUGCAUCGAUGGCAUCUGCAAGAAAGUUGGUUGCGAUUGGAUCGUUGACUCGGACAUGCAGGACGAUCGUUGCGGUGUCUGUGGCGGUGCUGGUGAUCAAUGCAAGCCCAUAAAGGAAACCUUCAUCGAACCCUUCAAUGUCAGUGACGGUGUCUACGUUGAUAUUGUCAGCAUCCCAGCGCGUGCUCGUCACAUACUCAUCCGUGAGUUGGGUAAUUCACCGCAUUUCCUUGCCAUCGGACGGGUUGGAUCGGGUGCGUUCUAUUUGAACGGCGACAGCUUGAUCUCGAUGCCAGGGGAACUGGAAAUUGCCGGCGUCGAGAGUCUCUACGAUCGCCAGGAUGAACAGGAGACUAUCAAAAUACCUCAGCCCAUACAGCAUUCCAUAGUGCUAUACGCGAUCGUGCGCGGCAAUGAGAGCAAUCCGGGCAUCUACUAUGAGUUCACAUUGCCCGCCCUGAAUGUGAGCGCUGGGCGACAGCAUCAGUGGCGUCUCAGCAACUGGACAGCCUGCUCCGUCAGCUGUGGCGGCGGUGUGCAGCAUCGUGAGCCCAUUUGCCAUGAGAAUGGUAAAGUGCUGUCUGAUAAGUUGCCUUGCUGGACGCAUGCGAAGAACAAACGUCCGUUGCGACAGACACGCGCCUGUGGCGAGCAACAGUGUCCGGCUCACUGGUGGCCCGGACCUUGGCAAUUCUGCCCGGUUACAUGUAGGCAACCGGGUGCUCCGAUGCCUCAGCGACGUCGCUCCGUUGUCUGUCUCGAUCAGCACGAUGUCGUUGUGACGGAUGCCCAAUGCAGCGCGCUGCCUCGGUUGCCCGAAACGGAGCCCUGCGAGGCUACGCUGCCCGAGUGCAGAGCAAAGCCCUGAGGCCAAACAGGAGAUGGAAACUAUUUAUUUGCUACUAAUAAAUCUAAAGCUAAUUUGCAUUGAAACCGGAAAAUUUGACGGCGAACUUUGAGGUCUGCGUGCUGUUGUUGGCUGGCUUCUGGGUCUGCCCGCUGUGAGAGCCACCUUGAGCCUAGGCCAGUUCCACAUUUACUACAUGGUUUGCUUCUAUUUCACCUCAUGUUGGACUGUCUCUUUCGUACUCUCUCUCUCUCUAUCUCUCUUAGUCUUUGUGCGUCUUUCCGGUUUGACUUUUGCCACCGCAGCACAAAUAAAUAAAUCGCAGCUAUCGUGUGUUUGUCGUGUUGAUGGUGACGCACAGGCACAAGCACAACAACACCAACAACAACAGCAACAGAGACGAUAACAACAACAAACAAUAACAUGACUCAGAGACAACAUACCUAGCAUAUUUUUACAUUCUACAUAAUAACUCCUCUGGCAUGCUUCUUCCUUAUGCAUGACAGCAAAAAGGCGAAGUGGGCAACGUGAUCGACGAUUUCGAUACUCUGCCCUCAAAUAAAUAUGAACUAAUUUAAACAUUAUUUCAGAAUAUUACUUUUAUUGAAUAUACACCUAUU